UGGGGAAUAUUGCACAAUGGGCGCAAGCCUGAUGCAGCCAUGCCGCGUGUAUGAAGAAGGCCUUCGGGUUGUAAAGUACUUUCAGCGAGGAGGAAGGCGUUGUGGUUAAUAACCGCAGCGAUUGACGUUACUCGCGGAAGAAGCACCGGCUAACUCCGUGCCAGCAGCCGCGGUAAUACGGAGGGUGCAAGCGUUAAUCGGAAUUACUGGGUGUAAAGCGCACGCAGGCGGUCUGUCAAGUCGGAUGUGAAAUCCCCGGGCUCAACCUGGGAACUGCAUCCGAAACUGGCAGGCUAGAGUCUUGUAGAGGGGGGUAGAAUUCCAGGUGUAGCGGUGAAAUGCGUAGAGAUCUGGAGGAAUACCGGUGGCGAAGGCGGCCCCCUGGACAAAGACUGACGCUCAGGUGCGAAAGCGUGGGGAGCAAACA
Molecule: ribosomal RNA, 427 nt
Filed under: uncultured bacterium
Lineage: Bacteria
Description: partial 16S ribosomal RNA
Rfam family: Bacterial small subunit ribosomal RNA
Source: RNAcentral